This 73-nucleotide transfer RNA is filed under the name Otolemur garnettii (small-eared galago). It matches the Rfam family "tRNA". From Rfam's summary of the family: Transfer RNA (tRNA) molecules are approximately 80 nucleotides in length. Their secondary structure includes four short double-helical elements and three loops (D, anti-codon, and T loops). Lineage: Eukaryota; Metazoa; Chordata; Mammalia; Primates; Galagidae. The record is from Rfam by way of RNAcentral.
UGCCUGUGGCUCAAAGGAGUAGGGCGCUAGCCCCAUACGCCAGAGUUGGCAGGUUCAAACCCUGCCCUGGCAA